This 469-nucleotide ribosomal RNA is filed under the name uncultured bacterium. RNAcentral's name for it is "partial 16S ribosomal RNA". It matches the Rfam family "Bacterial small subunit ribosomal RNA", at positions 28 to 507 of the family's 1533-position model. The record is from RNAcentral.
GACGAACGUUGGCGGCGUGCUUAACACAUGCAAGUCGAACGGUGAAGCGAGUGCUUGCACGCGUGGUUCAUUGGCGAACGGGUGAGUAACACGUGAGUAACCUGCCCAUCACUCUGGGAUAAGCACUGGAAACGGUGUCUAAUACUGGAUACGACCUACCCCUGCAUGGGGUGUUGGUGGAAUGAUUUAUCGGUGGUGGAUGGACUGGCGGUCUACCAGCUUGUUGGCGGGGUAAUGGCCCACCAAGGCGACGACGGGUACCCGGCCUGAGAGGGUGACCGGCCACACUGGGACUGAGACACGGCCGAGACUGCUACGGGAGGCAGAAGUGGGGAAUAUUGCACAAUGGGCGAAAGCUUGAUGCAGCAACGCCGCGUGAGGGAUGACGGCCUUCGGGUUGUAAACCGCGUUCGGCAGGGAAGAAGCGAAAGUGACGGGAGCUGAAGAAGAAGCACGCGGUAAAUACGUG